GAUGAACGCUGGCGGCGUGCCUAAUACAUGCAAGUCGAGCGAACAGAUAAGGAGCUUGCUCCUUUGAAGUUAGCGGCGGACGGGUGGGUAACACGUGGGUCACCUACCUAUAAGACUGGGAUAACUUCGGGAAACCGGUGCUACUACCGGAUAACACUUAGAACCGCAUGGUUCUAAAGUGAAAGAUGGCUUUGCUAUCACUUUUAGAUGUUCCCGCGCCGUAUUAGCUAGUUGGUAAGGUAACGGCUUACCAAGGCGACGAUACGUAGCCGACCUGAGAGGGUGAUCAGCCACACUGGAACUGAGAUACGGUCCAGACUCCUACGGGAGGCAGCAGUAGGGAAUCUUCCGCAAUGGGCGAAAGCCUGACGGAGCAACGCCGCGUGAGUGAUGAAGGGUUUCGGCUCGUAAAGCUCUGUUAUUAGGGAAGAACAAAUGUGUAAGUAACUGUGCACAUCUUGACGGUACCUAAUCAGAAAGCCACGGCUAACUACGUG
Molecule: ribosomal RNA, 497 nt
Filed under: uncultured bacterium
Lineage: Bacteria
Description: partial 16S ribosomal RNA
Rfam family: Bacterial small subunit ribosomal RNA
Source: RNAcentral